This 444-nucleotide ribosomal RNA is filed under the name uncultured crenarchaeote. RNAcentral describes it as "bacterial SSU rRNA". It matches the Rfam family "Archaeal small subunit ribosomal RNA", at positions 19 to 438 of the family's 1478-position model. The record is from RNAcentral. Lineage: Archaea; Thermoproteati; Thermoproteota.
GGACCCGACCGCUAUCGGGGUGGGGCUAAGCCAUGGGAGUCGCACGCUCCGCCGCUGCGGGGCGUGGCGCACGGCUGAGUAGCACGUGGCUAACCUGCCCUCGGGAGGGGGAUAACACCGGGAAACUGGUGCUAAUCCCCCAUAGGGAAGGCCGCCUGGAAGGGUCCUUCCCUCGAAAAGGGCCCGGCAGGGUUAGCCCUGCCGAGCCGCCCGAGGAUGGGGCUACGGCCCAUCAGGUAGUUGGCGGSGUAACGGCCCGCCAAGCCGAUAACGGGUGGGGGCCGUGAGAGCGGGAGCCCCCAGAUGGGCACUGAGACAAGGGCCCAGGCCCUAAGGGGCGCACCAGGCGCGAAACCUCCGCAAUGCGGGAAACCGUGACGGGGCUACCCCGAGUGCCGGGCGAAGAGCCCGGCUUUUGCCCGGUCUAAAACGMMGGGAGAAUAA